UACGGGAGGCAGCAGUGAGGAAUAUUGGUCAAUGGUCGAGAGACUGAACCAGCCAAGUAGCGUGCAGGAUGACGGCCCUAUGGGUUGUAAACUGCUUUUAUGCGGGGAUAAAGUGCGGCACGUGUGCCGUUUUGUAGGUACCGCAUGAAUAAGGACCGGCUAAUUCCGUGCCAGCAGCCGCGGUAAU
RNAcentral lists this ribosomal RNA (187 nucleotides) under uncultured rumen bacterium. Its description in RNAcentral is "partial 16S ribosomal RNA". It matches the Rfam family "Bacterial small subunit ribosomal RNA", at positions 340 to 524 of the family's 1533-position model. The record is from RNAcentral.